AGUGCCUGUAAUGCAGGCUGUUUGGAUGUUUAAAACGCACCCAGAGAAAGGGCCGGGCAAGACCGGUGCCAGCCGCCGCGGUAAUACCGGCGGCUCGAGUGGUGACCACUUUUAUUGGGCUUAAAGCGUCCGUAGCUGGAUUGUUAAGUCUCUUGGGAAAUCUUCCGGCUUAACCGGAAGGCGUCUAAGGGAUACUGGCAAUCUUGGGAUCGGGAGAGGUGAGAGGUACUCUGGGGUAGGAGUGAAAUCCUGUAAUCCUCAGGGGACCACCUGUGGCGAAGGCGUCUCACCAGAACGACUCCGACAGUGAGGGACGAAAGCUGGGGGAGCAAACCGGAUUAGAUACCCGGGUAGUCCCAGCCGUAAACGAUGCGCGUUAGGUGUAUCGGUGACCACGAGUCACCGAGGUGCCGAAGGGAAACCGUGAAACGUGCCGCCUGGGAAGUACGGUCGCAAGGCUGGAACUUAAAGGAAUUGGCGGGGGAGCACCACAACAGGUGGAGCCUGCGGUUUAAUUGGACUCAACGCCGGAAAACUCACCGGAUAAGACAGCGGAAUGAUAGCCAGGUUGAAGACUUUGCUUGACUAGCUGAGAGGAGGUGCAUGGCCGUCGUCAGUUCGUACUGUGAAGCAU
This 634-nucleotide ribosomal RNA is filed under the name uncultured Methanomicrobiales archaeon. RNAcentral's name for it is "bacterial SSU rRNA". It matches the Rfam family "Archaeal small subunit ribosomal RNA", at positions 384 to 1024 of the family's 1478-position model. The record is from RNAcentral. Lineage: Archaea; Methanobacteriati; Methanobacteriota; Methanomicrobia; Methanomicrobiales.